Molecule: long non-coding RNA, 2487 nt
Organism: Dendrobium catenatum
Lineage: Eukaryota; Viridiplantae; Streptophyta; Magnoliopsida; Asparagales; Orchidaceae
Exons: 3
Source: RefSeq, a predicted model, not a curated record
CCAUGUAUUACAGCCUGCUCAAAUCGAGCUGGUUAGAAUUCUCUCAAGCGUUAACCAGCCUGUGCGCGCGAUGUUUUCGCGGAAUCUGAGCUGAUAAGAGCUCCCUUCUUCUCCGUUAUUCGCACGCGCGAUGGUUUCGCGGAAUCAAAGCUGUCUCCCUCUCACAAAGCCGAAGCCUUCUCUCCCAGCUCCCUCUAUUCACAUGAGCACAAGAGGCGAACCCCUAUUUCGCCGCCUCCAUUCGCGGCAAGCAGGGAUCUAACGCCCCCAACCCUUCGUAUCCCCUCGCUCGUGUGGACAAUAGCCCUAGCCGGAUCCCUCACUUCCUCUGUCCUAGCUGACGCCGGGAACCUUCUUAUCUUUUUAACUUCUUCUACAUCCUCUUCAUCAUCUUUUUCUUCAUUCCUUCACUUUUUUUUUCUCCCAAUCUUUUCCUCCUCUCAUUCUUGAAUUUUAUUUUUGCAUUUAAAAAAUGCAUCGGAAAGGGUAAUCUGAGAUUUUCUUGUUAAAAUCUGAAACAAAAUUGUUUUCCAUCCACUCUUGAUAAUUAGGGAAGUGAUGAAGAUCUGUGAAAAAUGUUGUUCUGAAUGAAUUGGUUGCUUAUAUAUAAAUGACUUGUCUAUACCUACAUAUCAACCAUUUCCUGUGACUAUCCUUAUGAGUUCUCUCUUGAUGGAAUGCUUUUGUUUAGAUUCUAAUGCAUGAGGUUUCUUCCGUUUGAAAGUUUCAGCAUUGAAAGUUGGCUUUUCAGUAUCUUUUGAAAGGAUGUUUUUAGUUUUGAUGAAUUUGUAAUGUGUGGUGAUUUUAUAUAUAGUAUCCAACACCCUUUCAUGAAUAUUUAUGAAAUAAAAACAAUUUACCCAUCAAACAAUCCACUGUUCACUCACGUGAUCUUCUUUGGUGAAUGAAGACAAUUUCCAAUUGAUGCUCAUAGUACUCAUAGAGCUGCCUCGAGAGAGAAGAAAUGCUGCUUGGAUUAGAUAGAUUUACAUGCCAUCCAUUCUUCCAAAGCGGUGACAAUUUAGUGAAGAAAAGUUUUUGUAGGCCUCCCUCAGAACCUUACAGUAACAGUUGUGAGCUACAUGGGAAAGCUAACUUUGGUCAUGGGAAUAGAGAGGGACUUCAUAGACUCGAAUCUACUGAUUUCUUCAAUGAAAAUAUCAUUUCAAAGGAUCUUUGCGGUAGCCAUGGGCAAUAUCUAAAGUUUUGCUGGACAAAAGUAAAGGAAUUUCCUUGUAGAAAUCCACAUGAUGAGUAUGUUAUCCCAUUCAUAUUUAUACUGAGUUUUGUGUUGUUAGUAUCUUUUAAAAUGAAAUGAAAGGCGAUUAUAUACUUAUCAUAGGAUUUCCAUAAGGAAUGCUUUGUUGGAUUUCAGUCCUGUUUCACAUAUAUCAUAUCAGGUCAAUCAAGCUCAAUUUCUUUAUAUAUAUAAAUGCCCAGUGUAUCUGUUUAGUUGUAUAAUAUGAGGCUUUAAUUUGAUACAUGAUUCUUUGAUUUGAAUUUGAAAGCAAAAGCCUACUGCAUUUAGAUCUUUUCAAUGUGAGUCCAUGUUUAUUGUAUUUGUUUCUACAUUAACGAAUAUAUUAAUUGUUGGAAUGUAAUUUGCAUUGAUCAUUCAUUAUUGGUGUUAUUGAAUAGAGAUCCUACGAAACCAUUAUAGAAAAUAUGUUUUUUUGGCUUUUUUCGGAUGUGAAAAAGUCUUUUAUGGGAUGCAAUUAGAACCCUAAACAUUUAUUUUACAUUACAUUUACUUUACACUUCAUUUUGUUUUAGGCAACCAAACAGCCCCUAAGACAUUCAAAUGCCUAAUAAAUGCUUCAUAAUCAAGGGGUUCAAUAUCAUCUGUCAAUUCAAACAAGUCCCAACAUACGCUUUAUCUCCCUCCUAUUUACUAAUCAUGCUACUAAAAAAAACUAUAAAUAGACCUCUCAUUCUUCAUUUAAGGAAACCCAAGUAAGGAAGAGAUCAAAGAGUGAUAAAUUAGAGUUCUCUUACCACCAGACUCCUAAAGCACCAUUAGACCACCGAUUAUUGUUGGACUAUAGUCGAGCAUUUGCUUGGCCAUCAACUGACGCGGAUUUCUCCACGGUCACCUAGUAUCACCUGACAUCAACUAUGUUGCAAAUUGACGUCAGAUUACUGUCUGGCCACCAACUGUCGUUGGACUUCUCCUUGGCCACCAACUAAGCCGAAUUUAUGCCCGGUCAUUGACUAUCGUUGCACUUCAACUUGGCUACAAAUUUAUGCAGGAUUUUUGCCCUGCCAUCAAUUGCCGCUGGACUUCAACUCAGCUACCAACUGACGUCACAUUUUUACCACCUUCUGUCGCCGAAGUUUCAUCUAAUUCCUAUUUGUCGCUAGAUUUCAUCAUGUUGGUUGGUUAUUAUAAUCUGAUAUCCCUCAAGUUUAAGGAUGAGUUAAUUAUUUGUAAUUUAUUCAAAUACUAGUGGAUCAAUUUGACUGGGCGUGGCCUGGUGGUUUUUUAAA